This is a long non-coding RNA of Penaeus monodon (black tiger shrimp), 420 nucleotides long. RefSeq lists it as uncharacterized. The transcript has 3 exons. NCBI's taxonomy places the organism in Eukaryota, Metazoa, Arthropoda, Malacostraca, Decapoda, Penaeidae. The record is from RefSeq and is a predicted model, not a curated record.
ACUUGUCUCACGGAGCCAGAACUUCACGAGGGAAGUGACGCUGAACAACAUUAUCACGACAAACGUACUCCGUUGAAGGGAAGGUUAACGGGUAUUACUUGCCUGACGAAGUACUGACCACCAUGAAGCAAAUUCCAGGGCAGACCGUGACAGGUUCCAUGACUAUAGCGACCCCUGUGGAGGUCCUGAAACAGGUUCAUGUUACAGGACUGACUGGAAAUCAGGAAAAUUGGAUUGACUUUGUCUGAGCAAGUCGUCUACCUCAAUGACAGCGCCGAAAUCCAAGGCUCUCUAACCUUCAGCAAGCCACUCCGGGCAGCCCACGUGUCCAGUUCCAGCAGUGUGUUGGGCGGGGUGGACGUUCAAGAACUCUUUACCAAGGCCUGGUACGUCGACGCCCCGCUCUUAUCACUGCGGAUC